This 375-nucleotide ribosomal RNA is filed under the name uncultured Glomeromycotina. Its description in RNAcentral is "LSU rRNA". The record is from RNAcentral. Lineage: Eukaryota; Fungi; Glomeromycota.
UUGAAAGGGAAACGAUUGAAGUCAGUCGUACCAGCGGGAAAUCAACCUUUCGAGUGGGGGUUUGGGAGUUUUGAAGAGUUUCAAAACCUUUGAGAUUUCAAAAAUUUCGCUCUUUUGGUGUACUUUCUCGUGGGUAGGUUAACAUCGAUUUUGAUCAUCAUAAAAAGAUUGGAGGAAUGUAGCUUCGAUCUUGUAUUGAAGUGUUAUAGCCUUUGGUAAAUGUGAUGAUUAGGAUCGAGGAUUGCAACGAAUACCCUUUUGGGCUAUCCGCCUGAUCUCUGAUACGUGGCCUUGGUAUCGAAAGCUUGCUUAUGGUUUUAAGGGAUUACGGUCAAAAGGUUAGAACGGAUUACAUUCGUUAAGGAUGUUGACGUA